This 200-nucleotide ribosomal RNA is filed under the name uncultured bacterium. RNAcentral's name for it is "partial 16S ribosomal RNA". It matches the Rfam family "Bacterial small subunit ribosomal RNA", at positions 29 to 258 of the family's 1533-position model. The record is from RNAcentral.
AACGAACGCUGGCGGCAGGCUUAACACAUGCAAGUCGAGCGCCUCGCAAGAGGAGCGGCAGACGGGUGAGUAACACGUGGGAAUCUACCCAUCCCUGCGGAACAACUCCGGGAAACUGGAGCUAAUACCGCAUACGCCCUACGGGGGAAAGAUUUAUCGGGGAUGGAUGAGCCCGCGUUGGAUUAGCUAGUUGGUGGGGU